CUAGUGCUUUGCCCCUGGCCUUGUGCAGGGAUGGGUACAUAUUUACAAACUAGUACAGGCAGACACAAAUUUCCAUUGACUAAUCUUCCUCUGGCAAGGUGAGUCAUCAUAUAGAAAAGGUUGUUUCUGCUUGUUUUCUGUUUAGAUUAUUAUCCAGCCAGAGCUCCAAAAAAGGCCAGGACAGUAGCUUCAACCAUCUCUGUUCUUCCAUAGUAACAGAGGGAAACUUGGAGAGAUGUCUGUAGCUACAAGCUUUCUGCUUGUAGAAAGAUCUUACUUGGAAAUUACUUUGAAAGAAGCUGGCAAGGAUCCUGGACUGGUACCUCUUCCUAUGAAAAGGCAACUUUGGAACACAACAGUAGCAGA
Molecule: long non-coding RNA, 366 nt
Filed under: Calidris pugnax (ruff)
Lineage: Eukaryota; Metazoa; Chordata; Aves; Charadriiformes; Scolopacidae
Description: lncRNA (ENSCPUG00000017000.1)
Source: RNAcentral